GUAUCUACUUUAUGAGCAGAGAAUAGCAGGAGGAAAAUGAAGUAUAACUGAGACAAGCACAAAAACCACUAAUGGCUAUAGAUUCCAUGCCAUCAGAAAAAAAAUAUAGGGAGCAGUUUUCCACAGGAACAUCUCGACAGCAGUGGCCAGUAAUGAAAUCGGAAUACAGCAAGGAACAUCCAGAACUCAACACACCAAUGAAGAUGCCUGAUUAUCACUGGCAGACGAGCAAUGAUCUCCAAAUAAAGGGGUGUCUCAAAUCCAGCAAGGGAAAAGAUGUUAAUAAACACUUUGUUGGGCCCAAGACCCCCUUAUUAAAAUGACACUACCCAACCCCCACAACAAGUGAAAUUCAUUCCUGGGAAGUAAGACCUUUUUCUGUACAUAAAAAUGUCAUGCUUUAAAGUCUAUUGUCUCACAGUCUCUGUUAUAUGGCAGCCUCAAGCCUGGUCCAUUCAGCCACGCAGGCUUUCAGAAAAAUGUGCCAAUUAUAGGUACUUGGUUAUGCUGUAAAAUAAGGUGACUCCUAUACUUUGCAAAACACUUCCAUGCUCUCAGCUGAAUGAGCACUAUGUGAUUGCAAAGCACCAGCAACUACAAACAGCACCCAAGACUCAGUCCUCUUUUCUAAACACUUGCACGCAUUCUCCCUCUAGAGCCAGGAACAGAACCAGGAACCUUGAUUCUCAACACUCCACUACUGUCUACCACAGGGGUAGGCAACCUAUGGCACGUGUGCCGAAGGCGGCUCACGAGCUGAUUUUCAGUGGCACUCACACUGCCCAGGUCCUGGCCACCGGUCCGGGGAGCUCUGCAUUUUAAUUUAAUUUUAAAUGAAGCUUCUUAAACAUUUAAAAACCUUAUUUACUUUACAUACAACAAUAGUUUGGUUAUAUAUUAUAGACUUAUAGAUAGAGACCUUCUAAAAAUGUUAAAAUGUAUUACUGGCUCGUGAAACCUUAAAUUAGAGUGAAUAAAUGAAGACUAGCAUGAAGCUGUGCCUCCCA
Molecule: long non-coding RNA, 1007 nt
Filed under: Chrysemys picta bellii (western painted turtle)
Lineage: Eukaryota; Metazoa; Chordata; Testudines; Emydidae
Description: lncRNA (ENSCPBG00000019427.1)
Source: RNAcentral